Brassica oleracea var. oleracea is the source of this 1504-nucleotide long non-coding RNA. RefSeq lists it as uncharacterized. The record is from RefSeq and is a predicted model, not a curated record. Lineage: Eukaryota; Viridiplantae; Streptophyta; Magnoliopsida; Brassicales; Brassicaceae. The transcript has 3 exons.
CUCCACCAUUCAUCUAUGUAACAGCUACCAUUAACGUCAUUCUGAUACUUUAAGCCAUGCAUUAAUGUCUCUUGCACCACUUCUCCCACUCUCUCUCGAAUUAAAUCAGCCAUGGCAUCCUCCAAGUAACCGUACUGAACCUUCACCUAUAAAUGUCUUUGUUGCUUAAGAUGAACAGACACACCUAAACGAAAUCCCGAAGGUCUCUCUCUAUUAAAUGCCUUCUUUCUAACUCACGAUUUCAAACCCAUGAAACAACACUGGAACCAUCGCCACUCCAGCUUCAUGAUUUGAUGACCGGCCACUGUAGACAUAUUGUUGUUACGCGUGGAGAGAUCUAAAACUUCCAAGUUACUAAGCUUCAGCCCACCUAAAACUUUCCCAGGAAAAUAUAGGGUCUUGGAAGAGAAGUGAAGAAAUUUCAGGCCGAUGCAAGAACCAAGGCUUGAGAAAGUAGAUAUAUGACAUGAAUAGGGUUCUUCGAUAGAUCCAAGCUGGUGAAUAGAAAAAAAGUAAUUGAAACCAGAAACGGUGAGGAACAAGAGAGACAAAGUCAUACCAUUAAAUCAGGUACACAUGUUUUUUGUUGGAGACCGAUCUGGUGAGAGAUUCUUGUCAGGAAGAAUUUUUGGAUCUUAUAACUAAUGGAUUUCUCUGUACAAAUACUGAUAUGGUGAUGUGUUUAUUAUGUGUUGCUGAUGUACUUUCUACUGAACCCAUCGCAAUGACAGUAUCGGAUAAGUGUUUUAAUGGGAAGACUGUUUAGGUUAAUACUCGUGUCAAGUAGACAACGCCUAAACUCACCAAUACAAAGCCUUUCCGACUAUGACCGAUGUAUGAUGUGCAGUAAUAUGCAAUUUUUGAUUGAUUUUUUUCUUUGAUGGAAGAAUAAUAACAUGUUUCUAGAAAAAAAAACCUCAAAAAGACGCAAACGCGGAGAAGAAACCACAACUUUCUCUUGUCAAAGAAGAAGAAUAUAAAAACAUUAUUGGCUUCCAUGGUGAAAACUUGGGUCCUAAACAUCAGUAAGCUCGACUGGAGAAGAACACAACUUCCAGGUCAAAAGCUUUUACAGGAACAUCCACAACACUUUGAUAGACAGGAUGCAUAUGAAUAUAUGGUGAAUUGCAAGAGGUUGCAUCAGGUACAAAGAAGCAAGUGGCAAGCAAAAGAGUUAUAACAAUGGAGGACACCUCAAAGAUGAAUGGUGAAUCUCAGGAAGCUACACAGCCUACACUAAUCAACAAACCUUUUGUUUGUGUUGUUUCUUCAGGGGAUAAAAGACCUUUAACUGUCCCAAAGGGACCAAACUUCAUGUACCUAAGAGCUGUUGUACAAAUAGAGUGGCAUUACUUGUCUAAAAUCUCUGGUUUACUCCACACGGGAGUUUUGUAAUUUGGUUUGAUUUUUGAGAAGUAACAGAAGUGAGUUUUUUUUAGUCUGUAUAAAAAACACAUGCUCAUCGUUAGUAUUAGUGAGCUCAGAGGAGAACUUGUAGUGUUGA